Molecule: long non-coding RNA, 1458 nt
Organism: Carassius auratus (goldfish)
Lineage: Eukaryota; Metazoa; Chordata; Actinopteri; Cypriniformes; Cyprinidae
Source: Ensembl
CACAAAAUGAAUCCCCUUAUGCUUGGAAAUAAGCAACCAAUGCGUGGACGAUGAAAAAGAAAGUUAAAUGGCUUCGAGGAAGGAUGUAGAUUGCAGCUUCUGCAAAUAUGUAAUCGCGCGCAGGGGCGUCGAGUCGAGGAUGGCAGCGGGGAGUCUGUGCUUCACUGACCGGCGGAUCAUGAUCCAGAACAGAAUAAAUUCAACAAUUCAUUUCACCGGCAUUUAUGGAUGUUUUUUGCUCAUGCUUCCAUUAUCUCUUUAUUUGGUCAGAGUGAUGAAAGAUCUAUGCCAGAGGCGGAGGAGCGACUCACCCCUGAGGAUGUGUUCAGUCCCAACACUGACGAGUCUGCCCCACUCCUGCAGGGAGAGCAGAUUCCUUCAGCCCACAGGGAUAAUGCUGAGGAUGAUCAACCACCUUCCCCUGUGAAUGAAGAAGACAGUGUAGAGGAAAAGACAAACCCCCAACAACAAUAAUACCUCUCUACAAAUCACACGAGAUGCCAACGAUGGAGAAUUGCCUGAGGAGAAUUAUUGCUCAGAUGAAAUUGCUGUGGUGCUUGUUGACAACUCGAGUCCCUCGGCCCACCUGGACAAGAGUGAUACGGUUAAGAUCCUUAUCACAAUGAGCUGUGACCCACAGACGGCAGCUGAAAACUGAAUGAGUCCGUCAAACAGCGCAUCUUAGAGUCAGCUCAGUCCAACCAGGGAGAAUACUGUCCUGUUAAAAUUCCUGUCAUCACCUUCGAUUUGCCUCACGAAGUGGAGGAACCCUCUGCAGGUGAUGAAAAAGAAGAUACACCUUUUGCAGGAGAGAGCUCUGUUCAGGACAAGUCCGAACAUCUGACAUUGCUCAGGAAUACAAAGAAUUUGGGAUCAAUGAACUUGAGAUGCCCAAUCUGAGCCCCCAAGGAGAGGAAAGAUAACUUUACCAGCUGUAACAGUGGCAUGAACAUGGAGGAUGUGGAUUGUGCUGGUUCCUCCUUAAGUCAGAAUCAUAACUCCGCCACAUCCCAGAGCCGAAGCCUUUUUCACGGCCGCCAAAGCAGCUCCCAGUCCAGACACCACGGACUCACCGGGAGUAUCGCAGUCGCCCAGUGCAACCUCAGGGCCAACGGCCCCCUGUCACCAGCUGAUCGAGUCCCAUCCUGGACAGCCAGCACGGCUCCAACAGCCAGCUGUCCUUCAACACCUCCUCCAUUGCCUCCGUCUUUUCCCAGGUGCCUCGUUUAUCCACAACAGGGCCUCUGGCUCUGGCUCCAGCCAGGCGUCUUCCUCCAGCUCCACACUGAGCCUGCUGUUGGCAAGCGGAGCUGCUCCAGCGGCUUGGUCAUCUCAGGCCUCUCUGCAGCUGAGAGGGGGAACACCAGAGAUACGCAGUCCUCAAGUUCUGACAACAUCGUCCUAGGCCCGUCCUGUCACUCGAGUCAUGCAAUGCAGCAGUGGACAUCAGAGGCGUAG